RNAcentral lists this ribosomal RNA (253 nucleotides) under uncultured bacterium. RNAcentral's name for it is "partial 16S ribosomal RNA". It matches the Rfam family "Bacterial small subunit ribosomal RNA", at positions 524 to 776 of the family's 1533-position model. The record is from RNAcentral.
AACGUAGGAGACAAACGUUAUCCGGAGUUACUGGGCGUAAAGGGCGUGUAGGUGGUUUCGUAAGUCUGGCGUGAAAUUUCUCGGCUUAACCGAGGCAGGUCGUCGGAUACUGCGGGACUUGAGGACGGUAGAGGCGUGUGGAAUUCCGGGUGUAGUGGUGAAAUGCGUAGAGAUCCGGAGGAACACCAGUGGCGAAGGCGGUUCUCUGGGAAUAUCCUGACGCUGAGGAGCGAAAGUGUGGGGAGCGAACAGG